UUGGACAUACGAUUUUAUCUCGUGAAUUGAAAUCAUGAGAUGAAGUCAAUGUUUGGAC
This 58-nucleotide microRNA precursor is filed under the name Solanum tuberosum (potato). RNAcentral describes it as "miR7980a stem-loop (stu-MIR7980a)". Lineage: Eukaryota; Viridiplantae; Streptophyta; Magnoliopsida; Solanales; Solanaceae. The record is from miRBase by way of RNAcentral.